CAGUCGCCGCGGUAAAACGUAGGUCCCGAGCGUUGUCCGGAUUUAUUGGGCGUAAAGGGAGCGCAGGCGGUUUAGUAAGUCUGAAGUUAAAGGCAUUGGCUCAACCAAUGUAUGCUUUGGAAACUGUUAGACUUGAGUGCAGAAGGGGAGAGUGGAAUUCCAUGUGUAGCGGUGAAAUGCGUAGAUAUAUGGAGGAACACCGGUGGCGAAAGCGGCUCUCUGGUCUGUCACUGACGCUGAGGCUCGAAAGCGUGGGUAGCGAACAGGAUUAGAUACCCCCGUAGUCCCUGUCUCUUAUACC
Molecule: ribosomal RNA, 301 nt
Filed under: uncultured bacterium
Lineage: Bacteria
Description: partial 16S ribosomal RNA
Rfam family: Bacterial small subunit ribosomal RNA
Source: RNAcentral